This 261-nucleotide long non-coding RNA is filed under the name Elaeis guineensis (African oil palm). Its description in RNAcentral is "long non-coding RNA (EGUI_LNC070532)". The record is from RNAcentral. Lineage: Eukaryota; Viridiplantae; Streptophyta; Magnoliopsida; Arecales; Arecaceae.
GGUAUUUGGAACUUAGUCCAAGGAGCAUCAGCUCCUUCGAUCAACUCAGCCAGCAAUUCACGGUGCAUUUCCACACCAGUAAAAAGUUAGCAUACGCUUCUGCAAGUCUCUUCUCGAUCAAGCAACGAGAAGGAGAAUCACUGAGAGAUUACUUUGUGUGUUUCAAAUGCUGCCACAUUGGAAGUCUACGACCUUAAUCAGGAUAUGACUAUGAUGGCUGCUGCUCAGGGACUGCGUGGCUCAUGCUUGACUUACUCCUUA